This 85-nucleotide transfer RNA is filed under the name Felis catus (domestic cat). It matches the Rfam family "tRNA". From Rfam's summary of the family: Transfer RNA (tRNA) molecules are approximately 80 nucleotides in length. Their secondary structure includes four short double-helical elements and three loops (D, anti-codon, and T loops). The record is from Rfam by way of RNAcentral. Lineage: Eukaryota; Metazoa; Chordata; Mammalia; Carnivora; Felidae.
GCCUGAGUGGCUCAGUCGGUUGAGCGUCCGACUUCGGCUCAGGUCAUGAUCUCGCGGUCUGUGAGUUCGAGCCCCGCAUCAGGCU